This 253-nucleotide ribosomal RNA is filed under the name uncultured bacterium. Its description in RNAcentral is "partial 16S ribosomal RNA". It matches the Rfam family "Bacterial small subunit ribosomal RNA", at positions 524 to 776 of the family's 1533-position model. The record is from RNAcentral.
UACGGAGGGUGCGAGCGUUGUUCGGAAUUACUGGGUGUAAAGCGCGUGUAGGCGGUAGGCCAAGUCUGCUGUGAAAUCGCCCGGCUCAACUGGGCGCGGUCGGUGGAAACUGGUCAACUGGAGGACGGUAGAGGCGAGUGGAAUUCCCGGUGUAGUGGUGAAAUGCGUAGAGAUCGGGAGGAACACCAGUGGCGAAGGCGGCUCGCUGGGCCGGUCCUGACGCUGAGACGCGAAGGCGUGGGGAGCGAACGGG